Molecule: ribosomal RNA, 254 nt
Filed under: uncultured bacterium
Lineage: Bacteria
Description: partial 16S ribosomal RNA
Rfam family: Bacterial small subunit ribosomal RNA
Source: RNAcentral
UACGUAGGGUGCGAGCGUUGUCCGGAAUUAUUGGGCGUAAAGAGCUCGUAGGCGGUGUGUCACGUCGGCCGUGAAAACCUGCAGCUUAACUGUGGGCGUGCGGUCGAUACGGGCAUCACUGGAGUUCGGCAGGGGAGACUGGAAUUCCUGGUGUAGCGGUGAAAUGCGCAGAUAUCAGGAGGAACACCGGUGGCGAAGGCGGGUCUCUGGGCCGUAACUGACGCUGAGGAGCGGAAGCAUGGGGAGCGAACAGG